Molecule: ribosomal RNA, 497 nt
Filed under: uncultured bacterium
Lineage: Bacteria
Description: partial 16S ribosomal RNA
Rfam family: Bacterial small subunit ribosomal RNA
Source: RNAcentral
GAUGAACGCUGGCGGCGUGCCUAAUACAUGCAAGUCGAGCGAACGGACGAGAAGCUUGCUUCUCUGAUGUUAGCGGCGGACGGGUGAGUAACACGUGGAUAACCUACCUAUAAGACUGGGAUAACUUCGGGAAACCGGAGCUAAUACCGGAUAAUAUUUUGAACCGCAUGGUUCAAAAGUGAAAGACGGUCUUGCUGUCACUUAUAGAUGGAUACGCGCUGCAUUAGCUAGUUGGUAAGGUAACGGCUUACCAAGGCAACGAUGCAUAGCCGACGUGAGAGGGGGGUCGCCCACACUGGAACUGGGACACGGUCCAGACUCCUACGGGAGGCAGCAGUAGGGAACCUUCCGCAGUGGGCGAAAGCCUGACGGAGCAGCGCCGCGUGAGUGAUGAAGGUCUUCGGAUCGUAAAGCUCUGUUAUGAGGGAAGAACAGAUGUGUAAGUAACUGUGCACAGCUUGACGGUACCUAAUCAGAAAGCCACGGCUAACUACGUG